GGUGGCUCAGUGGUAGAGCGCUUGCCUCACAUGUAUGAGGCCCUUGGUUUGAUUCCUAGCACCA
Molecule: transfer RNA, 64 nt
Filed under: Dipodomys ordii (Ord's kangaroo rat)
Lineage: Eukaryota; Metazoa; Chordata; Mammalia; Rodentia; Heteromyidae
Rfam family: tRNA
About the family: Transfer RNA (tRNA) molecules are approximately 80 nucleotides in length. Their secondary structure includes four short double-helical elements and three loops (D, anti-codon, and T loops).
Source: Rfam by way of RNAcentral